GACGAACGCUGGCGGCGUGCUUAACACAUGCAAGUCGAACGGAAAGGCCCUGCUUUUGUGGGGUGCUCGAGUGGCGAACGGGUGAGUAACACGUGAGUAACCUGCCCUUGACUUUGGGAUAACUUCAGGAAACUGGGGCUAAUACCGGAUAGGAGCUCCUGCUGCAUGGUGGGGGUUGGAAAGUUUCGGCGGUUGGGGAUGGACUCGCGGCUUAUCAGCUUGUUGGUGGGGUAGUGGCUUACCAAGGCUUUGACGGGUAGCCGGCCUGAGAGGGUGACCGGCCACAAUGGGACUGAGGUACGGCCCAGACUCCUACGGGAGGCAGCAGUGGGGAAUAUUGCACAAUGGGCGGAAGCCUGAUGCAGAAACGCCGCGUGCGGGAUGACGGCCUUCGGGUUGUAAACCGCUUUCGCCUGUGACGAAGCGUGAGUGACGGUAAUGGGUAAAGAAGCACCGGCUAACUACGUG
This 468-nucleotide ribosomal RNA is filed under the name uncultured bacterium. RNAcentral's name for it is "partial 16S ribosomal RNA". It matches the Rfam family "Bacterial small subunit ribosomal RNA", at positions 28 to 507 of the family's 1533-position model. The record is from RNAcentral.